CGGAGGGUGCGAGCGUUGUCCGGAUUUAUUGGGUUUAAAGGGUGCGUAGGUGGCUUUAUAAGUCAGUGGUGAAAUACAGCCGCUCAACGGUUGAGGUGCCAUUGAUACUGUGGAGCUUGAAACAAUUGGAGGCUGCCGGAAUGGAUGGUGUAGCGGUGAAAUGCAUAGAUAUCAUCCAGAACACCGAUUGCGAAGGCAGGUGGCUACGUUUGAUUUGACACUGAGGCACGAAAGCAUGGGGAGCAAACAGGAUUAGAUACCCUGGUAGUCCAUGCUGUAAACGAUGAGGACUCGCUGUUGGGCUGUCACGGUCCAGCGGCUUAGGGAAACCGUUAAGUCCUCCACCUGGGGAUACGCCGGCAACGGUG
This 368-nucleotide ribosomal RNA is filed under the name uncultured organism. RNAcentral's name for it is "bacterial SSU rRNA". It matches the Rfam family "Bacterial small subunit ribosomal RNA", at positions 526 to 896 of the family's 1533-position model. The record is from RNAcentral.